Long non-coding RNA from Lemur catta (Ring-tailed lemur), 900 nucleotides. RefSeq lists it as uncharacterized. The record is from RefSeq and is a predicted model, not a curated record. The transcript has 4 exons. NCBI's taxonomy places the organism in Eukaryota, Metazoa, Chordata, Mammalia, Primates, Lemuridae.
GAGUGGAGGGUAGGAAACAUUAUAGUCUGAGAACGUUCCAUGGUAUGCUGGCACCAGAGGUCUGCAGACGGUGAAAAUCACUGUUUAUCUCCUCUGCAAGAUCUUGAUUAACGGGAGAAAAGGAUUUGUGUGACACGUCUUGGGUGCAGCAACUCUGGUGUGCUUUUUGGUACUUUUUGCCUUUGAUGUCCUGUCUUUUUUCAUCUGUGGGACAUACGGGGCUUUUGGACCUUUACUGCACAGGCGCCCAGCUGAGAAGCCGAGACCCUGGGAAACAUGGCCGGACAGAAAUGUAACCCGCCUAGGAAACAGACUCCACUUUGUGUUUCAUCAAGCUGACAAAGAUGGACUCCUGUGCUCGCUUCGGCAGCGCCUACACUAAGACUGGAACGAUACACGGAAGAUUAGCAUGGCCCCUGCACAAAGCUGACAUGCAAAUUCGUGAAGCGUUCCGUAUUUAAAAAAAGAAAAGAUGGACUCCUGUGGCUCUGAAGUUAAAAGCCCAUCCAAGAGGCCAUGCAGGGUGAGGGUACAGUCACACUCUCUGUGCCCUUGGAAAGUGUUGCGAAACCUGUUUUUCUGCAACCAAGUCAAAGAACAGUUCUUGAACACAACUACAGCUGGAAAUUCCCCAACUGACCACCAGAAGACCACCUGAAACCAGCCAAUGAAGAGACACUGGUGGUUUGGGGGCUCAAAGUUCAUCUGAUCAAGACUCUCAAUUCCACCAUUGGAGGAAAUGUUCCUCACUGCCCUGGUUCCCCUCCCUUGCCCUGCGGUUUUUGCCUUUGUAAUCUUCUACUUACCGACCCCUCCUAGGUGGGCACUUUCAUUUUGCACCAAAAGCUACAUCUCCCCAAUGUACAGAUUGCUUUCAGAAAAUAAAGUUCUCCGUUUUGC